CUCCGUAUUUGUCUCCAGUUUGACUGCAGUCAGAAAUGAAAGUGCUGUGCGGGAGGACCCCUUUGCUCGUUUAGUCGCUUCUUCCGGCGUCAUGGUUUCCAAACGCCACUUUUGGAACAUUGACUAUUUACGAGACGAUGGUUGAG
Non-coding RNA from Caenorhabditis elegans, 146 nucleotides. NCBI's taxonomy places the organism in Eukaryota, Metazoa, Nematoda, Chromadorea, Rhabditida, Rhabditidae. The record is from Ensembl.